RNAcentral lists this ribosomal RNA (831 nucleotides) under Acinetobacter pittii. Its description in RNAcentral is "bacterial SSU rRNA". It matches the Rfam family "Bacterial small subunit ribosomal RNA", at positions 21 to 861 of the family's 1533-position model. Lineage: Bacteria; Pseudomonadati; Pseudomonadota; Gammaproteobacteria; Moraxellales; Moraxellaceae. The record is from RNAcentral.
GGGGGGGGGGGGUCGGGUGSRGSGMGCUAUCGUGCAGUCGAGCGGAGAGAGGUAGCUUGCUACUGAUCUUAGCGGCGGACGGGUGAGUAAUGCUUAGGAAUCUGCCUAUUAGUGGGGGACAACAUUUCGAAAGGAAUGCUAAUACCGCAUACGUCCUACGGGAGAAAGCAGGGGAUCUUCGGACCUUGCGCUAAUAGAUGAGCCUAAGUCGGAUUAGCUAGUUGGUGGGGUAAAGGCCUACCAAGGCGACGAUCUGUAGCGGGUCUGAGAGGAUGAUCCGCCACACUGGGACUGAGACACGGCCCAGACUCCUACGGGAGGCAGCAGUGGGGAAUAUUGGACAAUGGGCGCAAGCCUGAUCCAGCCAUGCCGCGUGUGUGAAGAAGGCCUUAUGGUUGUAAAGCACUUUAAGCGAGGAGGAGGCUACUUUAGUUAAUACCUAGAGAUAGUGGACGUUACUCGCAGAAUAAGCACCGGCUAACUCUGUGCCAGCAGCCGCGGUAAUACAGAGGGUGCAAGCGUUAAUCGGAUUUACUGGGCGUAAAGCGCGCGUAGGCGGCUAAUUAAGUCAAAUGUGAAAUCCCCGAGCUUAACUUGGGAAUUGCAUUCGAUACUGGUUAGCUAGAGUGUGGGAGAGGAUGGUAGAAUUCCAGGUGUAGCGGUGAAAUGCGUAGAGAUCUGGAGGAAUACCGAUGGCGAAGGCAGCCAUCUGGCCUAAGUGACGCUGAUGUGCGAAAGCAUGGGAGCACAGAUAGAUACCCUGUUAGUCCAUGCGUAACGAUGUCUACUAGCGUGGGGGCUUUGAAGGCUUAURGKGGGCSGCRRCCCUUU